Molecule: ribosomal RNA, 2284 nt
Filed under: human gut metagenome
Description: bacterial LSU rRNA
Rfam family: Bacterial large subunit ribosomal RNA
Source: RNAcentral
UGCCGCCCUGAAGGGCGUAUGGUGGAUGCCUUGGCAGACAGUACCGAUGAAGGACGUUUGAGGAUGCGAUAAGCCUCGGGGAGCCUCCAACAUGGCUUCGAUCCGAGGAUUUCCGAAUGGGGCAACCCGCCGGCCGUCAUGGGCCGGCACGGAACCUUGUUGUUCCGGGGGUACGCAGGGAAGUGAAACAUCUCAGUACCUGCAGGAAGGGAUACUCCGUGAGUAGUGGCGAGCGAAAGCGGAUCAGACCAAACCAUGGGCGCGUGAUACCCGUCGGGGGUUGCGUUCGUGGUGUUGAGGGAGCGUGUGUCCCGGUUCCGACGGACCGGGCGGGAGUCAUAAAACGGCUUGCCAGGGGAACAGGCUUGAAGGCCUGGCCGCAGAGGGUGCCAGCCCCGUACCUGGAAGCUUGCCGUCUUCCGAUCAUGUGUCCCAAGUAGCGCGGGCCUCGUGGAAUCCCGUGUGAAUCGGCCCCGACCGUGGGGUAAGUCUAAGCAUACCUGUCUGACCGAUAGCGUACCAGUACCGUGAGGGAAAGGUGAAAAGCACCCCGGGAGGGGAGUGAAAGAGUUCCUGAAACCGUGCGCCUACAAUCCGUCGGAGCCUCCCUGGUGGGGUGACGGCGUGCCUAUCGAAAAAUGAGUCUGCGAGUCAGUGGUGCGUGGCGAGGCUAACCCGUGGUGGGGGAGCCGUAGCGAAGGCGAGUCUCAAAAGGCGUUUUGAGUCGCGCGCCCUGGACCCGAAGCGGGAUGAUCUAGCCCUGGGCAGGUUGAAGCGCGGGUAAGACCGCGUGGAGGACCGAACCCACCUGGGUUGAAAACCGGGGGGAUGACCUGGGGCUAGGGGUGAAAGGCCAAUCAAAUUCCGUGAUAGCUGGUUCUCUCCGAAAUGCAUUUAGGUGCAGCGUCGGUUGAUUGCAUCGCGGGGGUAGAGCUACUGGAUGCUUGCGGGCCCGUGUCGGGUACCAAUAGCAGCCAAACUCCGAAUACCGUUGAUGUGUAUUCCGGCAGUGAGUCGGCGGGGGAUAAGCUCCGUCGUCGAGAGGGAGACAGCCCAGAUCGUCGUCUAAGGUCCCGAAGCGUGUGCUAAGUGGGAAAGGAUGUGGAGUCGCAUAGACAGCCAGGAGGUUGGCUCAGAAGCAGCCAUCCUUGAAAGAGUGCGUAACAGCUCACUGGUCUAGUGGUUCCGCGCCGACAAUGUAGCGGGGCUCAAGCACACCACCGAAGACGCGGCAGCGGCCUUUGCGGCCGUUGGGUAGGAGAGCGUCCCGCGUGGGGCGAAGCGGCCGGGGAACCGUGCCGUGGACCGCGCGGGAGUGAGAAUGCAGACAUGAGUAGCGAGAGACGGGUGAGGAUCCCGUCCGCUGGAUGACCAAGGGUUCCGGGGCCACGUUCGUCGUCCCCGGGUGAGUCGGGUCCUAAGGCGAGGCCGACAGGCGUAGUCGAAUGGAUGAACGGGUGGAUAUUCCCGUACCGGCGGCGUACCGUAAGAGCCGAACGGAUGAGUACUAACCUCCGGUCGCGUGGCGUCGUUCCCUUCGGGGUUCGGGGUCCGCGGUCGUUGGGAGCGUAGUCCUGGUAGGCUAGCGCACAGGGGUGACACGGAAUGGGAGCCGGCCGCGGAGGUGGUUUUCCGUGGUCAAGCACGCAGCCCGUCCCAUAGGCAAAUCCGUGGGACGCAUAGGGUGAGGUGUGAUGAUGGGCGUCCUUUGGACGCGAUAUCCGGUGGUCCAGGCCGUCGAGAAAAGCCUCGGCGCGAGGGGCGUCGCCGCCCGUACCCCAAACCGACACUGGUGGUCAGGUAGAGAAUACCAAGGCGAUCGAGCGAAUCCUGGUCAAGGAACUCGGCAAAUCACUCCCGUGCCUUCGGUAUAAGGGAGACCCCCGGGCGUGAAGAGGCUUGCCCUCGGAGCGUUGGGGGGUGGCACAGACCAGGGGGUAGCGACUGUUUACCAAAAACACAGGUGCAUGCGAAGGCGCAAGCCGCUGUAUAUGCACUGACGCCUGCCCGGUGCCGGAAGGUUAAGAGGAUCCGUCAGCCCCUUUUGGGGUGAAGCGGUGAAUUCAAGCCCCGGUAAACGGCGGUGGUAACUAUAACCAUCCUAAGGUAGCGAAAUUCCUUGUCGGGUAAGUUCCGACCUGCACGAAUGGCGUAACGACUUCCCCACUGUCUCGACCAGGAGCUCGGCGAAAUUGCAGUACGAGUAAAGAUGCUCGUUAAGCGCAGAAGGACGAAAAGACCCCGGGACCUUUACUAUACCUUGGUAUUGGCGUUAGGCGCGGAU